This 588-nucleotide ribosomal RNA is filed under the name Triticum aestivum (bread wheat). RNAcentral's name for it is "partial small subunit ribosomal RNA". Lineage: Eukaryota; Viridiplantae; Streptophyta; Magnoliopsida; Poales; Poaceae. The record is from RNAcentral.
AUGAGACGCGCAGCGGAGGAGGUGUUCAGAAAUCUCACGGUGGAGGAGGACGAGAUGCUCAUGCCCAAUGGGUUCACCACUCCCUCGGGCGCACCGGUGAGCUCCCUGGCGGCGCUGUUCUGGGCCAUGGAAGAGACGGAGUUUGGGGAUCCGGCACAGAAGAAGAAAUGGUGGGGAUUCCGCUCCCGUCAUCGAUUUCCGGCAGGGCCGGAGGAGUUUGUAGUGGGGGCAGUGAUGGCCAUUCCCACCCCGGGGACGAGCUGGGUCCCAAUCCCAAUCGAAGACAGCAAGGAGGAGGAGGAGUUGGACACCGGGGCUCAUGUGGCGGCGGCGGAUCUGGCGAGGGAUGGAGAGGGGGAAGAAAAAAUAGAAGAUCUACACCCCCCGUCACUCUCCACGCUUUCUCUGACGCUCACUGCGCCUUCUCAGCCUCUCUCGCUCUGCGGCGGCGGAGUAGGCGUCUCCCCCGUCGGCAAUCGCUUCUGGUUGCUGGCUGGGGAGGAUGCUGACAAGGGAACUGGGACUUUGUCAGAUUCUUCAGGUCAGUCUCAUGGUGAAGAUAAACCUUCCUGUUACUUGCUUAAGUGA